RNAcentral lists this ribosomal RNA (225 nucleotides) under uncultured bacterium. RNAcentral describes it as "partial 16S ribosomal RNA". It matches the Rfam family "Bacterial small subunit ribosomal RNA", at positions 524 to 748 of the family's 1533-position model. The record is from RNAcentral.
UACGUAGGGCGCAAGCGUUGUCCGGAAUUAUUGGGCGUAAAGAGCUCGUAGGCGGUUUGUCGCGUCUGCUGUGAAAACCUAAGGCUCAACCUUGGGCUUGCAGUGGGUACGGGCAGACUAGAGUGCGGUAGGGGUGACUGGAAUUCCUGGUGUAGCGGUGGAAUGCGCAGAUAUCAGGAGGAACACCGAUGGCGAAGGCAGCCCCCUGGGAUAACACUGACGCUC